RNAcentral lists this ribosomal RNA (426 nucleotides) under uncultured bacterium. RNAcentral's name for it is "partial 16S ribosomal RNA". It matches the Rfam family "Bacterial small subunit ribosomal RNA", at positions 355 to 774 of the family's 1533-position model. The record is from RNAcentral.
UGGGGAAUAUUGGACAAUGGCGAAAGCCUGAUCCAGCCAUGCCGCGUGUGUGAAGAAGGUCUUCGGAUUGUAAAGCACUUUAAGUUGGGAGGAAGGGCAUUUACCUAAUACGUAAGUGUUUUGACGUUACCGACAGAAUAAGCACCGGCUAACUCUGUGCCAGCAGCCGCGGUAAUACAGAGGGUGCAAGCGUUAAUCGGAAUUACUGGGCGUAAAGCGCGCGUAGGUGGUUUGUUAAGUUGGAUGUGAAAUCCCCGGGCUCAACCUGGGAACUGCAUUCAAAACUGACAAGCUAGAGUAUGGUAGAGGGUGGUGGAAUUUCCUGUGUAGCGGUGAAAUGCGUAGAUAUAGGAAGGAACACCAGUGGCGAAGGCGACCACCUGGACUGAUACUGACACUGAGGUGCGAAAGCGUGGGGAGCAAAAC